RNAcentral lists this ribosomal RNA (253 nucleotides) under uncultured bacterium. Its description in RNAcentral is "partial 16S ribosomal RNA". It matches the Rfam family "Bacterial small subunit ribosomal RNA", at positions 524 to 776 of the family's 1533-position model. The record is from RNAcentral.
UACGAAGGGGGCUAGCGUUGCUCGGAUUUACUGGGCGUAAAGGGCGCGUAGGCGGACGACCAAGUUGGGGGUGAAAGCCCGGGGCUCAACCUCGGAACUGCCUUCAAAACUGGUCGUCUUGAGUACGGGAGGGGUGUGUGGAACUCCGAGUGUAGAGGUGAAAUUCGUAGAUAUUCGGAAGAACACCAGUGGCGAAGGCGACACACUGGCCCGUUACUGACGCUGAGGCGCGAAAGCGUGGGGAGCAAACAGG